RNAcentral lists this ribosomal RNA (387 nucleotides) under uncultured bacterium. RNAcentral's name for it is "bacterial SSU rRNA". It matches the Rfam family "Bacterial small subunit ribosomal RNA", at positions 30 to 417 of the family's 1533-position model. The record is from RNAcentral.
AUUGAACGCUGGCGGCAUGCCUUACACAUGCAAGUCGAACGGCAGCACGGACUUCGGUCUGGUGGCGAGUGGCGAACGGGUGAGUAAUGCAUCGGAACGUACCCGGUAGUGGGGGAUAACUACCCGAAAGGGUGGCUAAUACCGCAUAUACUGUGCGCAGGAAAGCAGGGGACCUUCGGGCCUUGUGCUACCGGAGCGGCCGAUGUCAGAUUAGGUAGUUGGUGGGGUAACGGCCUACCAAGCCUGCGAUCUGUAGCGGGUCUGAGAGGAUGAUCCGCCACACUGGGACUGAGACACGGCCCAGACUCCUACGGGAGGCAGCAGUGGGGAAUUUUGGACAAUGGGCGCAAGCCUGAUCCAGCCAUGCCGCGUGAGUGAAGAAGGCCU